GGACCCUUAGCUCAAUUGGUAGAGCUUUGUACUUAUGUGGUUACUUAAGAUAAUGCAAGGGUCCCGAGUUCAAUCCUCGGAGGGUCCA
Non-coding RNA from Rhodofomes roseus, 88 nucleotides. The record is from the annotation of a RefSeq genome assembly. Lineage: Eukaryota; Fungi; Basidiomycota; Agaricomycetes; Polyporales; Fomitopsidaceae.